Molecule: ribosomal RNA, 444 nt
Filed under: uncultured Sphingobacteriales bacterium
Lineage: Bacteria; Pseudomonadati; Bacteroidota; Sphingobacteriia; Sphingobacteriales
Description: bacterial SSU rRNA
Rfam family: Bacterial small subunit ribosomal RNA
Source: RNAcentral
AUGUGGUUUAAUUCGAUGAUACGCGAGGAACCUUACCUGGGCGUCGAACGUAAGAUGACUGUAGGUGAAAGCUUACAUCUCUUCGGAGCAUUUUACGAGGUGCUGCAUGGUUGUCGUCAGCUCGUGCCGUGAGGUGUCGGGUUAAGUCCCAUAACGAGCGCAACCCCUACCUUUAGUUGCCAUCAGGUUAAGCUGGGGACUCUAAAGGAACUGCCUACGCAAGUAGUGAGGAAGGCGGGGAUGACGUCAAAUCAGCACGGCCCUUACGUCCAGGGCUACACACGUGCUACAAUGGCCGAUACAGAGGGCAGCUACCUGGUGACAGGAUGCAAAUCUCCAAAGUCGGUCUCAGUUCGGAUCGGAGUCUGCAACCCGACUCCGUGAAGUUGGAUUCGCUAGUAAUCGCGCAUCAGCCAUGGCGCGGUGAAUACGUUCCCGGGUCUU